This 1439-nucleotide ribosomal RNA is filed under the name uncultured bacterium. RNAcentral's name for it is "partial 16S ribosomal RNA". It matches the Rfam family "Bacterial small subunit ribosomal RNA". The record is from RNAcentral.
AACGAACGCUGGCGGCAGGCUUAACACAUGCAAGUCGAGCGCCCCGCAAGGGGAGCGGCAGACGGGUGAGUAACGCGUGGGAAUCUACCGUGCCCUAAGGAAUAGCUCCGGGAAACUGGAAUUAAUACCUUAUACGCCCUUCGGGGGAAAGAUUUAUCGGGGUAUGAUGAGCCCGCGUUGGAUUAGCUAGUUGGUGGGGUAAAGGCCUACCAAGGCGACGAUCCAUAGCUGGUCUGAGAGGAUGAUCAGCCACAUUGGGACUGAGACACGGCCCAAACUCCUACGGGAGGCAGCAGUGGGGAAUAUUGGACAAUGGGCGCAAGCCUGAUCCAGCAAUGCCGCGUGAGUGAGGAAGGCCUUAGGGUUGUAAAGCUCUUUCACCCGCGACGAUGAUGACGGUAGCGGGAGAAGAAGCCCCGGCUAACUUCGUGCCAGCAGCCGCGGUAAUACGAAGGGGGCGAGCGUUGUUCGGAUUUACUGGGCGUAAAGGGCGCGCAGGCGGCGGACCAAGUCAGGCGUGAAAGCCCCGGGCUUAACCUGGGAGGUGCGUCUGGGACUGGUACGCUAGAGAUCGGGAGAGGAGAGUGGAAUUCCCAGUGUAGAGGUGAAAUUCGUAGAUAUUGGGAAGAACACCGGUGGCGAAGGCGGCUCUCUGGGACGGUACUGACGCUGAGACGCGAAAGCGUGGGGAGCGAACAGGAUUAGAUACCCUGGUAGUCCACGCCGUAAACGAUGGGUGCUAGGUGUGGGGGGGCGUCGACUCCCCCCGUGCCGAAGCUAACGCAUUAAGCACCCCGCCUGGGGGAGUACGGCCGCAAGGCUAAAACUCAAAGAAAUUGACGGGGGCCCGCACAAGCAGCGGAGCAUGUGGUUUAAUUCGACGCAACGCGAAGAACCUUACCAAGGCUUGACAUGCAUUUGAAAACCGUGGAAACACGUUCCCUCUUCGGAGCAAAUGCACAGGUGGUGCAUGGCUGUCGUCAGCUCGUGUCGUGAGAUGUUGGGUUAAGUCCCGCAACGAGCGCAACCCCUGUCCUAUGUUGCCAGCGAGUAAUGUCGGGGACUCAUAGGAGACUGCCGGUGACAAAUCGGAGGAAGGUGGGGAUGACGUCAAGUCAUCAUGCCCCUUAUGUCUUGGGCUACACACGUGCUACAUUGGCCGGUGCAAAGGGCUGCAAGACCGUGAGGUGGAGCGAAUCCCAAAAAGCCGGUCCCAGUUCGGAUUGGAGGCUGAAACUCGCCUCCAUGAAGUAGGAGUUGCUAGUAAUCGCGGAUCAGCAAUGCCGCGGUGAAUACGUUCCCGGGCCUUGUACACACCGCCCGUCACACCACGAAAGCCGGAAACACCCGAAGUCCGUGGGCCAACCGCAAGGAGGCAGCGGCCGAAGGUGGAGUCGGUGAUUGGGGUGAAGUCGUAACAAGGUAGCCGUAGCGGAAGC